RNAcentral lists this ribosomal RNA (433 nucleotides) under uncultured bacterium. RNAcentral's name for it is "partial 16S ribosomal RNA". It matches the Rfam family "Bacterial small subunit ribosomal RNA", at positions 29 to 507 of the family's 1533-position model. The record is from RNAcentral.
AACGAACGCUGGCGGCAUGCCUAACACAUGCAAGUCGAACGAGACCUUCGGGUCUAGUGGCGCACGGGUGCGUAACGCGUGGGAACCUGCCUUUAGGUUCGGAAUAACUCAGAGAAAUUUGAGCUAAUACCGGAUGAUGUCUUCGGACCAAAGAUUUAUCGCCUUUAGAUGGGCCCGCGUUGGAUUAGCUAGUUGGUGGGGUAAAGGCCUACCAAGGCGACGAUCCAUAGCUGGUCUGAGAGGAUGAUCAGCCACACUGGGACUGAGACACGGCCCAGACUCCUACGGGAGGCAGCAGUGGGGAAUAUUGGACAAUGGGCGAAAGGCUGAUACAGCAAUGCCGCGUGAGUGAUGAAGGCCUUAGGGUUGUAAAGCUCUUUUACCCGAGAUGAUAAUGACAGUACCGGGAGAAUAAGCACCGGCUAACUCCGUG